Molecule: long non-coding RNA, 1258 nt
Organism: Herpailurus yagouaroundi (jaguarundi)
Lineage: Eukaryota; Metazoa; Chordata; Mammalia; Carnivora; Felidae
Exons: 2
Source: RefSeq, a predicted model, not a curated record
CCUUUGUCCCCCUCUCACUCUGCCCUCCCCUGCUCACACACUCUCUCAAAAAUAAAUAAGAAACCUUAAAAAAAAAAAAAAAAAAAAAAGAUGUGCAGAGAAAAUGUAAUGAUUUUGUCUGAAACCAAUCUAGGCCUCUCCAAGCCUCCACCUGCUGGUCAGUGGGCCUACCUUCUCCUGGCUACUGGGCAAAGAACCGAGUUCCCUUGUGGCUGAGCUCCCUCCCACCAUGGACGGUGGGCCCAGAACCCCACCUCCUGCCUUCAUCAUCUCUUCAUUCACCUGAUGCCCGCAGCACACACAUGUUGAACCAUUCAUUAUGGUGGCUUCAUUCUCUUGCUUUUCCUCUUUCUUCCCGCCAUUCCCACAGCCCAAAAGGGUGGACUUUUAUAUCAUCCUUCUUCCUCCAAGCUCAUGUUAUACCUUUGAUAUGCUAAAUAGCAUUAGAGAAACUUGGAAGAUCUCUCAAAACAACAGCUUGGCUUUUCCAGACAGAAGUGCUACCUCUGCAUUUUUCUACAAUGAAUUCUAAUCUCUCCUGGCAAAUAGAUGCCUCCCAGACUAGGCUGCGGGCCGAAAGGCAGAAGCGUAACACACAGCAGUGAUUUUUCAAGACCUCCUGUUGGGCACGUCCCACAUUGCUGGCUUGGACUGUUGAUGGUAUUUAAGCAAAAUGGAAAAAGUGAAUGAGGAGCAUUAUUUGGAAGGAAGUAAGUUCAGCACUAGGCCCGUUGAGUUUUAUGUGCCCGAGAGGAGCAGAUGCGUGAAUGACCACGUGGCCCGCAGGUGGCAGGCCAAAGGAGAGAUCGGGGCUGGAGCACGGGUCAGGCCUUGUCAGCCCUAGAAUUCUGCAUAGUACGUUAACUUGAGUCGUCCUUACUACCUUUCCUGGGGACUGACACCUGUGUCCCCUAGGAAAGAUCCAGGAGCCGCAGGGAGGAGGGAAUGGCUAAGGGAGGUCACGGACAAGAGCAACACACGGCAUGGAGCGGUCCUGGCCUAGGCUGCCCAGUGACGGCGAUGCAGUGCUCCCCCGGUGAGCAAACGGAGGCUCUCCCCCUCGGAAGGAAGGACAGUCUUCGAGGGAUGGGCACUGGUCAGGACUGCACGUUGCUGGGUGCUGACGCAGGCCCGGCCUUCUCCCGCUGGGAGCCGGCUCUGCCCUCCUGGCCUCUGACCACUUCCCACUGCCUCCUGAGUCCCUGGGAGCCUGGGAAAAGCAGUGCACGGGAAGCUCCAAAGCUCUUGCGUGUAGAAG